CAUUGACCCCGUAGCCGUCGUUUAAAAGGUGCAGCACUCUUUGCGAGCCUCUUUCACAUGUCGGAGUGAUCUGGUUCAGCGAGAGUUGAAUUUCCGCUUGAGGAAGAAUAAUAGAUAACAAACUAAAAUCAGGGCGGCCCGGUAGUCCAGUGGUUAGCACGUCGGCUUCACAGUGCAGAGGUACCGGGUUCGAUUCCAGCUCCGGCCUCCCUGUGUGGAGUUUGCAUGUUCUCCCCGGGCCUGCGUGGGUUUUCUCCGGGUGCUCCGGUUUCCUCCCACAUUCCAAAAACAUGCAUGGCAGGCUGAUUGGACGCUCUAAAUUGUCCCUAGGUGUGAGUGUGGGCGUGGAUGGUUGUUCGUCUCUGUGUGCCCUGUGAUUGGCUGGCAACCGAUUCAGGGUGUCCCCCGCCUACUGCCCGGAGACAGCUGGGAUAGGCUCCAGCACCCCCCGCGACCCUA
Hippocampus zosterae (dwarf seahorse) is the source of this 459-nucleotide long non-coding RNA. RefSeq lists it as uncharacterized. The transcript has 2 exons. The record is from RefSeq and is a predicted model, not a curated record. NCBI's taxonomy places the organism in Eukaryota, Metazoa, Chordata, Actinopteri, Syngnathiformes, Syngnathidae.